CGGACAGCUCCGUGUUGCCAUCCAACCCCCCGACCCGAUGGCAACACGGAGCUUCCCA
This 58-nucleotide small RNA is filed under the name Mycobacterium talmoniae. RNAcentral's name for it is "F6 TB sRNA". It matches the Rfam family "F6 TB sRNA". The record is from Rfam by way of RNAcentral. Lineage: Bacteria; Bacillati; Actinomycetota; Actinomycetes; Mycobacteriales; Mycobacteriaceae.